UUUCUAGUCCUACUGGGAGAAAGAGGAACAACCAGAAUGGUUUCUAGUCCUACUGGGAGAAAGAUGAACAAUAGGAAUGGUUUCUAGUCCUACUGGGAGAAAGAGAAACAACAGGAAUGGUUUCUAGUCCUACUGGGAGAAAGAUGAACAACAGGAAUGGUUUCUAGUCCUACUGGGAGAAAGAGAAACAACAGGAAUGGUUUCUAGUCCUACUGGGAGAAAGAGGAACAACAGGAAUGGUUUCUAGUCCUACUGGGAGAAAGAUGAACAACAGGAAUGGUUUCUAGUCCUACUGGGAGAAAGAUGAACAACAGGAAUGGUUUCUAGUCCUACUGGGAGAAAGAGGAACAACAGGAAUGGUUUCUAGUCCUACUGGGAGAAAGAUGAACAACAGGAAUGGUUUCUAGUCCUACUGGGAGAAAGAUGAACAACAGGAAUGGUUUCUAGUCCUACUGGGAGAAAGAUGAACAACAGGAAUGGUUUCUAGUCCUACUGGGAGAAAGAGGAACAACAGGAAUGGUUUCUGGUCCUACUGGGAGAAAGAUGAACAAUAGGAAUGGUUUCUAGUCCUACUGGGAGAAAGAUGAACAACAGGAAUGGUUUCUAGUCCUACUGGGAGAAAGAUGAACAAUAGGAAUGGUUUCUAGUCCUACUGGGAGAAAGAUGAACAAUAGGAAUGGUUUCUAGUCCUACUGGGAGAAAGAUGAACAAUAGGAAUGGUUUCUAGUCCUACUGGGAGAAAGAUGAACAAUAGGAAUGGUUUCUAGUCCUACUGAGAGAAAGAGGAAUAACCAGAAUGGUUUCUAGUCCUACUGAGAGAAAGAGGAAUAACCAGAAUGGUUUCUAGUCCUACUGAGAGAAAGAGGAACAACAGGAAUGGUUUCUAGUCCUACUGAGAGAAAGAGGAAUAACCAGAAUGGUUUCUAGUCCUACUGGGAGAAAGAGGAACAACAGGAAUGGUUUCUAGUCCUACUGAGAGAAAGAGGAACAACCAGAAUGGUUUCUAGUCCUACUGUAGCAGGUCAAGACUUGUUAAUUAUUUGAAAAACAGCUGAUUUGAGGUCAUUGAUUUUCCUCUCACGUAAUUAACAAACACAACAUGUAAAAUUAAAAUCAGUCAAACAGUGUCUUAAAAUAACCAAUCAAUGGGUGAUACUGUGUCCAAACACAGGGUAGACAUGUUGUGUCCAGACUGUUAAAAGUGCUGUAGUGUGGAGUUUACAGA
This is a long non-coding RNA of Oncorhynchus keta (chum salmon), 1225 nucleotides long. RefSeq lists it as uncharacterized. NCBI's taxonomy places the organism in Eukaryota, Metazoa, Chordata, Actinopteri, Salmoniformes, Salmonidae. The transcript has 3 exons. The record is from RefSeq and is a predicted model, not a curated record.